GCCUUUGUGAUGUAACGGUAGCAGGCUCGGGGCGUAAUCGAGAGGCCCAGGUUCGAGUCCCGGCAAGGGCA
This 71-nucleotide transfer RNA is filed under the name Stegodyphus mimosarum. It matches the Rfam family "tRNA". Rfam says of the family: Transfer RNA (tRNA) molecules are approximately 80 nucleotides in length. Their secondary structure includes four short double-helical elements and three loops (D, anti-codon, and T loops). Further hydrogen bonds mediate the characteristic L-shaped molecular structure. tRNAs have two regions of fundamental functional importance: the anti-codon, which is responsible for specific mRNA codon recognition, and the 3' end, to which the tRNAs corresponding amino acid is attached (by aminoacyl-tRNA synthetases). tRNAs cope with the degeneracy of the genetic code in two manners: having more than one tRNA (with a specific anti-codon) for a particular amino acid; and 'wobble' base-pairing, i.e. permitting non-standard base-pairing at the 3rd anti-codon position. Lineage: Eukaryota; Metazoa; Arthropoda; Arachnida; Araneae; Eresidae. The record is from Rfam by way of RNAcentral.